This 776-nucleotide ribosomal RNA is filed under the name uncultured bacterium. RNAcentral describes it as "partial 16S ribosomal RNA". The stretch from base 430 to 526 matches the Rfam family "Bacterial small subunit ribosomal RNA", at positions 1229 to 1325 of the family's 1533-position model. The record is from RNAcentral.
GGGGAAAAGGAGGGGGAGUGGGAGGGAGGGCAGAUGGUAGAGGGUUGGAGUGGGUGGGGGAUCCGCUAGUGGGGUUGGGGGGUGGUUGUGGGGGUUGGGGGGGAGGGGAUGAUGUUGGGUGGCGUGAAUGUAGUGGUGGAAGGGGGGUCUCAUCGGCUAGGUUUCGCAGAGGUGGGCGCGGGGGUAGGUGGAGUUGGGUGAGGUGGGGGUUGGGCGGGGUGGGUGGUGGGAGGGCGGGGGGCGGCCGGGGGGGCGUGGUGGUAGAGUGGGGAAAGUGUGGGGGAGGGGGCGGAGGAGGGGGGACGCUAAUCCUUGGGUGCAGGUGUUCGGGCCGGGAACUCAAAGGAGACUGCCAGUGAUAAACUGGAGGAAGGUGGGGAUGACGUCAAGUCAUCAUGGCCCUUACGAGUAGGGCUACACACGUGCUACAAUGGCGCAUACAAAGAGAAGCGAACUCGCGAGAGCAAGCGGACCUCAUAAAGUGCGUCGUAGUCCGGAUUGGAGUCUCCAAGUGGACUCCAUGAAGUGGGAAUGGCUAGUAAUAGUAGAUCGGAUUGUUACGGUGGAUACGUUUGCGGGCUAGGUGCGCCCCAGGCUUCGCACCAUGGGAGUGGGUAGAAAAGAAGAUGAGAGUAGAUUAGCCUUGGGGAGGGGUGCUUCACGGAUUGUGAUUCAUGGAAGUGGUGGGGUAGCACCACGGUAAAGGGAGAAUUGUGCUAGUAUAUCCGAUCACAACUGGCGGGACAGGUGCGAGACUAUGCAUCUAGAGGGCUCAA